UGCUCGCUUAGGCAGCACAUAUACUAAAAUUGGAACGA
This 38-nucleotide small nuclear RNA is filed under the name Cervus elaphus hippelaphus. The record is from RNAcentral. Lineage: Eukaryota; Metazoa; Chordata; Mammalia; Artiodactyla; Cervidae.